This 206-nucleotide ribosomal RNA is filed under the name uncultured bacterium. RNAcentral describes it as "partial 16S ribosomal RNA". It matches the Rfam family "Bacterial small subunit ribosomal RNA", at positions 568 to 774 of the family's 1533-position model. The record is from RNAcentral.
UGCGUAGGUGGUUUGAUAAGUUGGGUGUGAAAUUCCUGGGCUUAACCUAGGAACUGCGCUCAAUACUGUUGAGCUAGAGUACUGUAGAGGAAGGUGGAAUUUCCAGUGUAGCGGUGAAAUGCGUAGAUAUUGGAAGGAACAUCAGUGGCGAAGGCGACUUUCUGGACAGAUACUGACACUGAGGCACGAAAGCGUGGGAGCAAACA